AUGGCGGGCAGGCGCGUUCUGGUCCGCUGCGUCCUCUCGGCCCUGCCCACCUUCGCUCUUAUAGCGCUUCGAGUCCCAACGAAGCUGCUGAAGGAAAUUGACAAGUGCAGGCGGCGUUUUCUCUGGGGAAAGCAUCAAGAACUCUCGGGCGGCAACUACAAGGUUAGCUGGGAACGGGUCUGCUCCCCGUUUGAGCACGGCGGACUCGGUGUCCUGAACCUAUCAAAGUUCAGCCGCGCGCUUCGGCUGAGAUGGCUAUGGCACAUUUGGAAAAACCCCACUCGGCCUUGGGUUGUUACUGUCGACAACGACAAAACAGCGAGCUUCAGGCACUGCUCAUGGCUAGGGCCGGUGCCGCUGAAGUUCUGCUUCCCGUCUGUCUUCAAGCACUCCAGGCGCAAGGGCAGAACUAUGGUGCAAGCCCUCAGCGGCGACCGCUGGGUUUUGGACCUAGCGCAUGGCAACAACGUCGACCUUGUUAGUGAGGUUAUCUCCCUGCGUCGACUCAUUCAGCGCCGGAAACUCAACCUUCAGGUAGAAGAGCAGGACCAAAUACGCUGGAGCUCGUAG
This 570-nucleotide ribosomal RNA is filed under the name Triticum aestivum (bread wheat). Its description in RNAcentral is "partial small subunit ribosomal RNA". The record is from RNAcentral. Lineage: Eukaryota; Viridiplantae; Streptophyta; Magnoliopsida; Poales; Poaceae.